GUCAAGCCAUGGUGGUGAGCAAUGCUAUUAGUUUUCUCGCCUUUCUCAUGUCUGUGAAUAAUAUCCAGCUCCACUUCGAGACUAACAUCCGGUUCCUGAAUUACUUUUUGGUCCGUUAGGCAGCCAACCAAGCAAUUUGUGUCCUGUGCCGUUCCAGAAUGCCUUUUUCCAUCUGUUUUUUGUCCGCUAGUGGACCAAAGAUUGGAACUUUGGUCGAGGGGUUUUGCAAAACAUUGGUCAAGUGUCCGGGCGACCAAAACUACCGCCUUGUAUUUUAAAUUUCCAAAUGUAAAAAGAAGCUAACUGUAAUUAAAUUUAUUUCAGUCUAUUUACCAUGUCAAAUUUUUUUGAUGGUACAACAAAGCUUUUCUUAUGCUAUAUUGAGCAUACGUUUUAAUUUUUGAAGUCUACUGUAGUCGCCUUGUGAGUUCACGUCAAACAUCAACAACAGCCUAAUCGACUCGUCACAUCUCUACUUCACUGACUAAAUUUGGUACCAUGGCUGCAUUAGAAGAAAUCAUAGAUGAAGAAAUGUAUGAAAUGGAAGAAUUGCGACGAGUGAGGAUUCCACGCAUAUAUAAGAUCUUAUGGUGUAUAAUGUAGGUAUUGCAAAGUACAAAUAGUAUGUAAGAAUGAAUAAACUUAACCAUCUACU
Molecule: long non-coding RNA, 655 nt
Filed under: Portunus trituberculatus (swimming crab)
Lineage: Eukaryota; Metazoa; Arthropoda; Malacostraca; Decapoda; Portunidae
Description: uncharacterized LOC123506031
Source: RNAcentral